CCUACGGGGGGCUGCAGUGGGGGAUAUUGCACAAUGGGGGGAACCCUGAUGCAGCGACGCCGCGUGGGUGAAGAAGCGCCUCGGCGCGUAAAGCCCUGUCAGCAGGGAAGAAAAUGACGGUACCUGAAGAAGAAGCCCCGGCUAACUACGUGCCAGCAGCCGCGGUAAUACGUAGGGGGCAAGCGUUAUCCGGAUUUACUGGGGGUAAAGGGGGCGCAGACGGCGAUGCAAGCCAGGAGUGAAAGCCCGGGGGCCAACCCCGGGACUGCUCUUGGAACUGCGUGGCUGGAGUGCAGGAGGGGCAGGCGGAAUUCCUGGUGUAGCGGUGAAAUGCGUAGAUAUCAGGAGGAACACCGGUGGCGAAGGCGGCCUGCUGGACUGCAACUGACGUUGAGGCCCGAAGGCGUGGGGAGCAAACAGGAUUAGAUACCCGAGUAGUC
Molecule: ribosomal RNA, 440 nt
Filed under: uncultured bacterium
Lineage: Bacteria
Description: partial 16S ribosomal RNA
Rfam family: Bacterial small subunit ribosomal RNA
Source: RNAcentral